AUUGAACGCUGGCGGCAGGCCUAACACAUGCAAGUCGAGCGGCAGCACUUCGGGUGGCGAGCGGCGGACGGGUGAGUAACACGUAGGAAUCUACCUAGUAGUGGGGGAUAGCCCGGGGAAACUCGGAUUAAUACCGCAUACGCUCUACGGAGGAAAGGGGGCUUUGGCUCUCGCUAUUAGAUGAGCCUGCGUCGGAUUAGCUAGUUGGUGAGGUAAAGGCUCACCAAGGCGACGAUCCGUAACUGGUCUGAGAGGAUGAUCAGUCACACUGGAACUGAGACACGGUCCAGGCUCCUACGGGAGGCAGCAGUGGGGAAUAUUGGACAAUGGGGGAAACCCUGAUCCAGCCAUGCCGCGUGUGUGAAGAAGGCCUU
RNAcentral lists this ribosomal RNA (374 nucleotides) under uncultured bacterium. Its description in RNAcentral is "bacterial SSU rRNA". It matches the Rfam family "Bacterial small subunit ribosomal RNA", at positions 30 to 418 of the family's 1533-position model. The record is from RNAcentral.